AAGCACAUGCUUGCUGACUGUAGACUUGAAUGAAUUUAGGAAUUUGUCUUGUAGGCAAGUGGUGACGUAUUUUAUGUCCUUGUUAAUAAUGUUGACUGUUUGUUAUAUAACUUAGGCCCAAUGUAAGAAAUGCUCUUGUCUGAAUUACAUAAACGGUUAAAUGGUACUGCAAAGAACUCAGGUUCUCUUCUAGGUGCGUUUAAGUUUGAAACAGUGAACAUUCCUAUAAUAUUUGGUGGUGCAGUGUUAGAAUAAACUUUGUGCAUUAAGCAUAAUAUACAUUUAGCUAUCACGUUCGGUAAAGCUAAUAUUUCUAGUUUAUUGAAAAUUUCCUUUGUGUGUGAAGGUGUACUAUUCAGAUCUUUGUCAUAAAAAUAGCGGUGGUAUUGGUUAUCUUUUAGAAUAUUCUAGUAUAAGUGUUAAAUAACCGUUAGGAUUAGUGUAAGAUUAGAUUAGAUUAGUGUAAUAGAUUAUGGAUGGUUUUGCGGAGGUAGACACGUGUUAGUCAGGUUAGCUAGUUAAGUUAGGUUAUUGGACAGACUGGGCCGCGCGGUGUCACGUGGUUCGCCAUGUGAUGUCACGUGACCCAGUGCUGUUAGUGUUUGCUUGCCCCGUUAGCGGCAGUUCUUCGAGGAGCAUUUAACGGUAAGGUUGUAAAAGUUACCGCUUCCGAGAACAGUGUAGCGUGGCCUUCGGGUCACUAGUCUUGGUUUAUUGAUCAAAUAGUAAUUUAUUGCCAUUCGAGACUUAUUGUUCGAACACCCUGUUUCCUUUGUUCUUACCUAACUUAGGACUCGAUCAAGUCAUUCGAUCUUUUAAAGUCAUACGGCACUCAGUAGCCAGUAAGAGCUAAAGUGAAAUUGCAGAGCUUGAGAGCUAGAGAUUUGCAGGCUGGAAAAUGUUAUGAAAACUUAUACAGCGAAAACAGUGGACAAGUUUGCCAGCUGACUAUUUUUUACAUAUUGGUGGAAAACAGCUGCAGUGAAAAACAGUAGACAAAUUUGCCAGCUCACGGUUUUAACAAAUUGUAACUACCAGUAAAGAUGUCUGACCAGAGCACUGAACUGUACAUAGCAGCUUGGCAGGGUAACAAAGAGGUUGUAAAAGAGCUGUUAACACACCGUGAUAUUAAUGUUAACAGGGAGGGUGAGUUAGGUACACCACUGUACAUAGCAGCUAAGGAGGGUAACAUAGAGGUUGUAAAAGAGCUGUUAACACACCGUGAUAUUAAUGUUAACAGGGAGGGUGAGUCAGGUACACCACUGUACAUAGCAGCCUUAAAGGGUCACACAGACGUUGUAAAAGAGCUGUUAACACACAUUAAUAUUAAUGUUAACUGGGAGGGUGUGUCAGGUACACCACUGUACAGAGCAGCUGAUUAUGGUAAAACAGAGGUUGUAAAAGAGCUGUUAACACACCGUGAUAUUGAUGUUAAUAAGGGGAGUAAGUGGGGUACACCACUGUACAUAGCAGCUUAUUAUGGUAAAACAGAGGUUGUAAAAGAGCUGUUAACACACCGUGAUAUUACUGUUAAUAAGGGGGAUAAGUCAAGUACACCACUGUACGUAGCAGCUUAUCAGGGUCACACAGAUGUUGUAAAACAGCUGUUAACACACCGUGAUAUUGCUGUUAACAAGGUGGGUAUGUUAGGCACACCACUGUACAGAGCAGCUGAGAAGGGUCGCACAGAGGUUGUAAAAGAGCUGUUAACACACCCUGAUAUUGAUGUUAAUAAGGGGGAUGAGUCAAGUACACCACUGUACGUAGCAGCUAAGCAGGGUAACAUAGAGGUUGUAAAAGAGCUGUUAACACACCGUGAUAUUGAUGUUAAUAAGGGGGUUGAGUUAGGUACACCACUGUACGUAGCAGCUGAGAAGGGUCACACAGACGUUGUAAAAGAGCUGUUAAAACAAAGUGAUAUUGAUGUGAACAAGGGGAGUAAGGUUGAUACACCACUGUGUGCAGCACUAGCUAGAGAGGGUAACAUAGAUGUUGUAAAAGAGCUACUAGCACACAUUAAUAUCGAUGUUAAGAAGGAGGGUAAGGAGGGUAACACUCCCCUCCUGAUAGCUGCUAGGAUGGGUUAUUUGGACAUUGUGGAACAAAUGUGCCAAGUUAAUGGCGUGGAUAAGAACCACGUUAAUAAUUUAGGUUAUACCCCCUUUCUUGCUGCUGCUGAGCAAGGUCAUGCUUAUAUAGUUAAAUACCUUCACCAAUUAGGCUGUGUCAAUAUGGAGCAAGUGGAUAACAACCAGGCAAUAUAUGUGUUCUGUAAAAGUUCCGUCUUCAAAACACUUGUUGACAUCUUCGUAGAUCCAGACGUUCAUGACACCCAGUUAUCAAGUUUAUUGAAUGUAUUGUACGUAAGUUUGCAGGCUAACAUCAAAUGUGACUGUGGUGAGGUCAAGUCUCCAGACAGUCCAAAGAAAUCCAAAGAAGCAAAGAAGUCUAAAGAAGCGAUCGAAAAAGACGCUUUUAAAAAGUUUCUUCGAGAAACAUUGGGAGAGGCUGUUUUCGAAAGAUUUUCCGCCCAAAUAAAUAGAAUUUCAGAUGAAGGAUAUGAAGGAGACAUUGACGCAAAACUUGUAGCAAAAAGUAUCGCUAAAACCUAUUUGACGGAGAACGAACAAGAAUCGAUCAAUGUUAAAGAGGAUCAAGGAUGCUGCGCUCCCAUAGAAAAUGUUAAAGAGGACAUUGAAAAGUGUCUUUUUUCUGCAUGCAUUAGGAGGUUUUCGCACAAGUGUAGUGUUCGGGGAAGCUUUGACUAUUUUACUUGCUUAUUUGCAAUAUUAAUUCAUAUUUCCGACAUUGCUUCUGAUGCUUAUGUAGGCUUCAAAACGCUAAAAGGUUUUUCUUCAAGAUUAGGGAUACUAAUGCUAGUCAUUGUUUUUGUGACUUUGUUCCACGAGAAUAUCCGCUCUUCAAUUUCAACAUUUGCUACUGGAAUAGAGCAACUCCGGACAAAUCUUGGAAAAGUCACAUUUACACCAGAAGAUUGGAAAGGUUCUGAACUAAACUAUGGGCAUGAAUUGUGGGUGCCAUUUAAAUAUCUAGGACGAUUCUUUUGGCCGUUCAAAGUAAAAGGACAUUCAUCAAUAUCAACAUCUGUUAGAGCCGUAUUUUUCAACGUACUCUCGAUAUUUUGGCUCCGUCCAGUUGUUGAUCGUCUGCAAUUUCUCACGCACUCACCUUCUAAAUUACGAGUCAUCUAUAGACAGCAGGCCAAAGACAAAUCUCUUGCCCAAUACUAUAUGAUGAUGGAACAGAUUCCUGAGCUCCUUAUCCAGUUUUACAUUUUUCAAAUCUACUUCAACAUUUUGAGGGAAGAUGGGGAUUUUAGAAGUUCUGGAUGUACGGACUAUCAUAGUUUCGAUUACGAUUCUGGGGAUUUUGAGUGUGUCGAAAACCUACUGAGAUUAAAGAUAUGCGCGUCAUGGGUGGAAGUAUAUUCAAUGAUAGUGCCGUUUGUGAAGAUUCCCAACAGCGUGAUCGGUUUGGAAGUGAUACUUCGGAAGCUCCAUCCAGCAACACCAAAGAUGUCUACUGUUGCUCUCGUGCUAUUGUAUAUAGCUUAUGUUCUGAUGAUUCCUUCUAGACUCUUCCUAAUUGCAGCAGUUAUGCACUCAGUCCCCAAUCACUUCUAUGUUGCUGGAUAUCUUGGAUUAUCAACUUUAGUUUGGUUUGUUGUUAAUAAGAUCACGAUAAGUAUAGCCAGCAAGAAAAUACCAACUUCAAAGGAUAAAGAAGAAGAACUUACGAUACUACGACGUAUUGGUGAUAUGUGGUCUCUCCUGCUAUUCAGUUUUAGAGAUGUUAUUGUCAUUUCGCUACGUCGACCGAAUGCAUAUCUUAUUUCCCCCUCAGAAGUAGGCUACACAACUUUAAGGACCUGGAAAGAGAUGAUGGUCAUAACAACCUACAUGUUUGUCGAGGGAGUUAUAGGCGCGGUUUAUGUUGAGAAUAACUACCCCUGCGGUAGGAAUACUGAUAUCUUCAAAUACCAGGGAUGGCUCUACCUAACACUACUUAUCAUUUCAACUACCCUCAUAACUUUGCUUUCUUAUAUUUUCCAGGUCAAUAAAACGAACUUUAAAAACUUCCGAAUGAAGUCAGCCUUUAUCUGUGGAUAUGGGUUAAUAAUGUGGUACAUGGCAGGUUCUUUAAUCUCCAGGACAAGAUUUAGCCUGAUGGAGCCGAAAUGGGUGAUCAUCGUAUUAGUGAUCCUGAUGAUUAUCUUUCUUGCAGCAGCUAUAUUGUUAAGACAGUUUAGCGAAGCAAAGCUUCCGAAAAAUGGGCAGUAUGAAGAACAAGCUUCCGCCUGCUGUCCAAUCUCUUAUUUCAAAAAGUCUUGCUCUAAAUCUAUCUGUUGCAGAUGUAAGACUACUUCAGAUGAACUUUCUUUGUCAACCCUGCCACUAUCAACUCAGACUCAUCGUUAUGAAACUGAAACGGAACGUAGCACACUUCUAGCAAACAUACAGGAAGAGGAAAUCAGUGAUAUUGAAGCUCAGAAUGUAGAAGCUGACAUUACACCAGCAGAAGACGAACACGGGGUAUUCCAAGACUCGCAUGUAUAGUUUAAAAGCUUUAUUGUGUAUUUUAUUAUUAUGUUUUAUUUAUUAUUUGUAAGUAUUAAAUGAUGCCUAUCGUAUCAUUCAAAAGUUUCAAGAACCCACCUUGAAGAAGACACAACAGAUCUAAUCUAAGGAUGAAAACCGGUGUUCACAACUUUAAUCAGAAGUGCUUUCUCUAUAAAGGAAACAAUUUCAUACUUUUCACGGAUACAAUGAUGAUAUUUUUAUCCUUUAACCUUAAUCUUAUUAUCAUUAAUUCUCUUUUACUUUCUUUAUCCUUCUCAACUUAACACUAUCCAACCCGACUCUUUAAAGACAAAAACCUCCGCAAGCAACUCAAGAAUCGCUACAUUUGAGUUCUCAAAUAACAGUCGAGGAUCAGUGAAAAGCAGUGAUCAGGAGCAGUUUACUUGUGGUUUAGUUGGUCGCUAUGGUAACCCUAGACACUCACGUUUAAUUGAUCCUGUUGAGACACCUGCACUAAUUUGGAGAUAGUAAUGUGACUGAAAGGCGACUGAAAGACACGUGAUGCCCAUAUAAGGACACUUAUCUUCCAAGUCACACCCACAUUAUCUCCUGUACUCCUUCACUGAUACUGCAGAGAAGAAAGCGGUGUUUAUAUCCCUUAUAUGGGCAUCAAGUGUUUGUGAGUCAAGAACUUCUUUUUGUGUUAGAGCUAACUUCACUUCCUCAUUAAACAAAAGGUUAUGAGCGCUGCCAACUUUAACAUCCUUCCAAAGAAUGCACUGCCACCCUUUCCACUCCUCUUCAUCAUAUCUUCCGUUCCUUCCUAAGAAGAUUGACCUCUGUGAAAAAGACAGUUGUUCCUGGUUCCAUCAUCUUAAGUAAAAUAUAUCUGCAUUCGCUGAUUGUGCGAUAUAUUCCGUCUGGUUACAUGAUAUUAAAAAUGUGGGGUAAAUCAAUAUUUAUGUCUAAGAAUUGAGUUGUCAGAACAAUGAACAUUUAGCUAUAGGUUUUUAUUGUAAGUCUAGCUGUGAGUUAAUAAAUUUUACUAAGUUUUUAAAUCCAGCUGCACUGCUAUAGUCAAUAGUCACCGUCCAGUAAAAAUGUAAACUUUUUAUUAAUAUCAUUCAGAUAUGAUAUUGUUCCGUAUAUCUACGGUUUCAGCUGUUUCAGCUAGGUUAUGUAACCUCAAUUAACUUUCGUCAAAUUACCUAAUUAAAUUAUUAUUGCCUAACUAUCCUAUAGGGUGUUAUUGAAUUCUUCCAAUACUAUUUUGCCUUAAAAUAACACUUUUAGUCUAUGUUAGAAAUUUUCUAACUGAUAUGUUUGUAAAAGUGUUAAACUGUUUUAUAUUUGACCGAUCAUAAUCAGACUAUAUCAGGGUAUUUUUAAACAGUUGUUUAUUAUUAAUUUUAUUUGUAAAGCUACUUUAAUUUUGCGGUUUUGAUAAUGUGGUUAGUCCACAGGGUUGUUAUAAAUUUAACAACUUCAACGUUGUUUUUAUGGCUUGGUAUAAUAACCUUCAGAACUAAUAUA
Bolinopsis microptera is the source of this 6074-nucleotide RNA transcript. RefSeq lists it as uncharacterized. NCBI's taxonomy places the organism in Eukaryota, Metazoa, Ctenophora, Tentaculata, Lobata, Bolinopsidae. The transcript has 8 exons. The record is from RefSeq and is a predicted model, not a curated record.